This 548-nucleotide long non-coding RNA is filed under the name Pan troglodytes (chimpanzee). RNAcentral's name for it is "lincRNA". The record is from RNAcentral. Lineage: Eukaryota; Metazoa; Chordata; Mammalia; Primates; Hominidae.
AGCGAUUCUCUUGCCUCAGCCUCCUGGGUAGCUGGGACUACAGGCAUGUGCCACCAUGCCCAGCUAAUUUUUGCAUUUCUAGCAGAGAUGGGGUUUCACCAUGUUGGCCAGGCUGGUCUUGAACUCCUCACCUCAAGUGAUCCACCCGCCUCGGCCUCCCAAAGUGCUGGGAUUACAGGCAUGAGCCACUGCUCCUGACCUCAACUUUUAAUUUUUAUCUAUCGAUCUAGUCUAUUAUUACCCGCUACUUACCUACCCAUCCAUCCAUUCAUCCAUCCAUCCAUCUGCCCAUCCUUUUUUUUUGUUUAUUAGCUCUGGUCUUUGUUAUAUUUGUUGAUAGGCCCAAGUAAAUUAGUAUGUGUAAAACUCACUUAAAACAGUGCUUAGCACAUGGUAAGCAUAAUAUGUGAUAGCCCUUAUGAUCUAGUAACUCACCAGUAUCUUGUGUGUAUUAGAACAAUGUGUCUCUGUAAUAUUUUAAUUAUAUCUCUAUAAGAGCAUACAUAAAUGACAAUAUAUAAAUCUCAAUAACAGAAUGUUUCUAACCC